AUGCUCACUUCAGCAGCAUAUGGCUACAAUUGGAAGAAUACUGACAAGAUGAGCAUGGCUCCUUUACAAGGAUGACACACAAAUUUGUAAAAUGUUCCAUAUUAAA
Small nuclear RNA from Vulpes vulpes (red fox), 106 nucleotides. The record is from Ensembl. Lineage: Eukaryota; Metazoa; Chordata; Mammalia; Carnivora; Canidae.